CAGCCACACUGGAACUGAGACACGGUCCAGACUCCUACGGGAGGCAGCAGUGGGGAAUAUUGCACAAUGGGCGCAAGCCUGAUGCAGCCAUGCCGCGUGUAUGAAGAAGCCCUUCGGGUUGUAAAGUACUUUCAGCGGGGAGGAAGGCGAUGCGGUUAAUAACCGCGUCGAUUGACGUUACCCGCAGAAGAAGCACCGGCUAACUCCGUGCCAGCAGCCGCGGUAAUACGGAGGGUGCAAGCGUUAAUCGGAAUUACUGGGCGUAAAGCGCACGCAGGCGGUCUGUUAAGUCAGAUGUGAAAUCCCCGGGCUUAACCUGGGAACUGCAUUUGAAACUGGCAGGCUUGAGUCUUGUAGAGGGGGGUAGAAUUCCAGGUGUAGCGGUGAAAUGCGUAGAGAUCUGGAGGAAUACCGGUGGCGAAGGCGGCCCCCUGGACAAAGACUGACGCUCAGGUGCGAAAGCGUGGGGAGCAAA
This 475-nucleotide ribosomal RNA is filed under the name Erwinia sp. RNAcentral describes it as "bacterial SSU rRNA". It matches the Rfam family "Bacterial small subunit ribosomal RNA", at positions 305 to 772 of the family's 1533-position model. Lineage: Bacteria; Pseudomonadati; Pseudomonadota; Gammaproteobacteria; Enterobacterales; Erwiniaceae. The record is from RNAcentral.